RNAcentral lists this ribosomal RNA (253 nucleotides) under uncultured bacterium. Its description in RNAcentral is "partial 16S ribosomal RNA". It matches the Rfam family "Bacterial small subunit ribosomal RNA", at positions 524 to 776 of the family's 1533-position model. The record is from RNAcentral.
GACGGAGGGUGCAAGCGUUAUUCGGAAUCAUUGGGCGUAAAGGGUGUGCAGGCGGUCGGUCAAGUCAGAGGUGAAAGCCCGGGGCUCAACCUCGGAAGUGCCUUUGAAACUGGUCGACUUGAGUUCGGGAGAGGGAAGCGGAAUUCCGGGUGUAGAGGUGAAAUUCGUAGAUAUCCGGAGGAACACCGGUGGCGAAGGCGGCUUCCUGGACCGAAACUGACGCUGAGACACGAAAGCGUGGGGAGCAAACAGG